This 507-nucleotide ribosomal RNA is filed under the name uncultured bacterium. RNAcentral describes it as "bacterial SSU rRNA". It matches the Rfam family "Bacterial small subunit ribosomal RNA", at positions 30 to 526 of the family's 1533-position model. The record is from RNAcentral.
AUUGAACGCUGGCGGCAGGCCUAACACAUGCAAGUCGAGCGGAAACGAUCCUAGCUUGCUAGGAGGCGUCGAGCGGCGGACGGGUGAGUAAUGCAUAGGAAUCUGCCCGGUAGUGGGGGAUAACCUGGGGAAACCCAGGCUAAUACCGCAUACGUCCUACGGGAGAAAGCAGGGGAUCUUCGGACCUUGCGCUAUCGGAUGAGCCUAUGUCGGAUUAGCUAGUUGGUGAGGUAAUGGCUCACCAAGGCUGCGAUCCGUAGCUGGUCUGAGAGGAUGAUCAGCCACAUCGGGACUGAGACACGGCCCGAACUCCUACGGGAGGCAGCAGUGGGGAAUAUUGGACAAUGGGCGAAAGCCUGAUCCAGCCAUGCCGCGUGUGUGAAGAAGGCCUUCGGGUUGUAAAGCACUUUCAGUGAGGAAGAAGGCCUUGAGGUUAAUACCCUCGAGGAAGGACAUCACUCACAGAAGAAGCACCGGCUAACUCCGUGCCAGCCGCCGCCGUAACAC